RNAcentral lists this ribosomal RNA (442 nucleotides) under uncultured rumen bacterium. Its description in RNAcentral is "bacterial SSU rRNA". It matches the Rfam family "Bacterial small subunit ribosomal RNA", at positions 948 to 1392 of the family's 1533-position model. The record is from RNAcentral.
AAUUCGAUUAACGCGAAGAACCUUACCAGGUCUUGACAUCUAACUGACAGGUCCUUAAUCGGACAAUUCCUUCGGGACAGUUAAGACAGGUGGUGCAUGGUUGUCGUCAGCUCGUGUCGUGAGAUGUUGGGUUAAGUCCCGCAACGAGCGCAACCCCUAUUUCCAGUAGCCAGCAGUAAGAUGGGAACUCUGGAGAGACUGCCGGGGAUAACCCGGAGGAAGGUGGGGACGACGUCAAAUCAUCAUCCCCCUUAUGAUCUGGGCUACACACGUGCUACAAUGGCAGUUACAGAGGGAAGCGAAACUGUGAGGUGGAGCAAACCCCAAAAAGGCUGUCUCAGUUCGGAUUGUAGUCUGCAACUCGACUACAUGAAGCUGGAAUCGCUAGUAAUCGCGAAUCAGAAUGUCGCGGUGAAUACGUUCCCGGGUCUUGUACACACCG